CUGCUUUGUCUACCAUUCAUCUAAUCCUUCCAUGCUCCCCCCAUGUACCCCCUAUGAGUCAGCCUCCUUAUAUCAGAGAAAACAUUCAGCAUUUGUUUUUGGGGGAUUGGCUAACUUCACUUAGCGUUAUCUUCUCCAAUGCCAUCUAUUUACCUGCAGAUGCCAUGAUUUUAUUUAAUUUUUUAUUGCUGAUUAAAGUUCCAUUGCGUAUAUAUGCCACAUUUUUUAAUCCAUUCAUCCACUGAAGGGUAUCUAGGUUGACUCCACAGUUUAGCUCUUGUGAAUUGUGCUGCUAUAAACAUUGAUGUGGCUGUGUCCCUGUAGUAUGGUGUUUUUUAAGUUCUUUGGGGAAGUCUGAGGAGAGGGAUUGCUGGGUCAAAUGGUGGUUUCAUUCCCAGAUUUCCAAGGAAUCUCCACACCGCUUUCCAAAUUGGCUGCACCAAUUUGGAAGUCCCACCAGCAAGGUAAGAGGGUA
Molecule: long non-coding RNA, 475 nt
Filed under: Marmota monax (woodchuck)
Lineage: Eukaryota; Metazoa; Chordata; Mammalia; Rodentia; Sciuridae
Source: RNAcentral